Molecule: ribosomal RNA, 497 nt
Filed under: uncultured bacterium
Lineage: Bacteria
Description: partial 16S ribosomal RNA
Rfam family: Bacterial small subunit ribosomal RNA
Source: RNAcentral
GAUGAACGCUGGCGGCGUGCCUAAUACAUGCAAGUCGAGCGAACAGACGAGGAGCUUGCUCCUCUGACGUUAGUGGCGGACGGGUGAGUAACACGUGGAUAACCUACCUAUAAGACUGGGAUAACUUCGGGAAACCGGAGCUAAUACCGGAUAAUAUAUUGAACCGCAUGGUUCAAUAGUGAAAGACGGUUUUGCUGUCACUUAUAGAUGGAUCCGCGCCGCAUUAGCUAGUUGGUAAGGUAACGGCUUACCAAGGCAACGAUGCGUAGCCGACCUGAGAGGGUGAUCGGCCACACUGGAACUGAGACACGGUCCAGACUCCUACGGGAGGCAGCAGUAGGGAAUCUUCCGCAAUGGGCGAAAGCCUGACGGAGCAACGCCGCGUGAGUGAUGAAGGUCUUCGGAUCGUAAAACUCUGUUAUUAGGGAAGAACAAAUGUGUAAGUAACUAUGCACGUCUUGACGGUACCUAAUCAGAAAGCCACGGCUAACCACGUG